RNAcentral lists this long non-coding RNA (253 nucleotides) under Musa acuminata (dwarf banana). RNAcentral's name for it is "long non-coding RNA (MACU_LNC011500)". Lineage: Eukaryota; Viridiplantae; Streptophyta; Magnoliopsida; Zingiberales; Musaceae. The record is from RNAcentral.
GUCCAUCCCCUUCAAAGUGAUUUGCUAGUGGAAGUUGGGAGCCUCUUCGAAGAAGGCUUCGUAAGUGGAUGUAGGUUAUUUUGACUGAACCACUUUAAAUUGGUAUGUUCCUUGAAUGUGUGAGUUCUUACUUUCCUGAAAUUGUUAUUUACACUACUGCUAGCUUUCGGUUUUCAUCUACUCAAGUUACUAUCGAAACAAAAUCUUAUCGUAUUUACAAAUUCGUUUUUAAACUUACAAGUUUUAAUCCCCU